UAUUGGUCAAUAGCCUAACCGGCUGAACCAGCAACUUGGAGGAAUGGAUAGGGUAAGCCGGUAAAAGGCAAUGUACCUAGUAGUAUUAGAAAUGAAUAUGAGAUUAACGAAGUUAAUUAAAAUUCGAAGUAGAUAAAUGAUUAUGACAAUAUCUGCUGAUGUCUUGACCAAGUCACGUGCCAGCAGUCGCGGUAAUACGGAAGAUAAGCGUUAUUCAUCUUUAAUAGGUUUAAAGGGUACCUAGACAGUUAAUUAAGCAAGAAAUUGUACUAAUUUUAAACUAGAGUUUAAUGUAGGAAGGGUCAGUACGAUGCGGAGUAGAGAUAAAAUUCUUUGAUACUCAUGGGGACUGGUAAAGGCGAAGGCAACCUUUUAUGUAAAAACUGACGUUAAGGGACGAAGGCUCAAGGAGAAAAAAGAGGAUUAGAUACCCUCGUAUAGUGGGCAGACAAUGAUGAGUGUCAUAUGUAAGAUUUAUGUAUAAAUGAAAGUGUAAGCACUCCACCUCAAGAGUAACGUGGCAACAUGGGAACUGAAAUCAUUAGGCCGUUUUUGAAACCCGUAGUGAAGUAUGUUGUUUAAUUUGUAGGUACGCAAAUAACCUUACCACAAUUUGUAUAGCUUGUACAAGCGUUGCACGGCUGUUUUUAGUCAAUGUUGUGAAACUUUGGUUAGGUCCAUUAAAUUGAUGUAAGCCCUUACUUUAUUUAAUAAAAAGUAGUUCGCCGCUGUAUUGGUAGCGAUAUAAGGGACUAAGAC
RNAcentral lists this ribosomal RNA (759 nucleotides) under Graphis pulverulenta. RNAcentral describes it as "SSU rRNA". It matches the Rfam family "Bacterial small subunit ribosomal RNA", at positions 359 to 1183 of the family's 1533-position model. The record is from RNAcentral. Lineage: Eukaryota; Fungi; Ascomycota; Lecanoromycetes; Ostropales; Graphidaceae.